Molecule: unclassified non-coding RNA, 351 nt
Filed under: soil metagenome
Description: partial contains 5.8S ribosomal RNA, internal transcribed spacer 2, and large subunit ribosomal RNA
Rfam family: 5.8S ribosomal RNA (bases 1-120)
Source: RNAcentral
GAUGAAGAACGUAGCGAAAUGCGAUAAGUAGUGUGAAUUGCAGAAUUCCGUGAAUCAUUGAAUCUUUGAACGCACAUUGCGCCUCCUGGUAAUCCGUGAGGCAUGCCUGUCCGAGCGUCGGUAAAAAGCAACUCGGCCGCGGCUGGCGGUUGGUGAUGGAGGAAGAGCACGUCUCGUUGUCGGUCUCCCCUCCCAAAAUCAACGGCGGAAUGUCACUGGCACUCGGUGUUGUAGUAUUAUUCGCCGAUCACCCAUUGUUGUUCCUGCCGCCCAAACCCCCACAAUUCUCUUGAUUGACCUCGGAUCAGGUAGGGAUACCCGCUGAACUUAAGCAUAUCAAUAAGCGGAGGA